GCUAAUCGUUCGCGUACCGUAUCAUGUAGUCGACGAGGAACCGUAGCUUGCUUCUCUGAUGUUCGCGGCGGACGGGUGAGUACACGUGGGUAACCUUCCCCUAAGACUGGGAUAACUUCCGGAAACCGGAGCUAAUACCGGAUUAUAUUUUGAACCGCAUGGUUCGAAAGUGUCAGGCCGCUUUGCUGUCACUUUUUGAUGGAUCCACUCUGCAUUAGGUGGUUGGUAAGGUAACCGCUUACCCAAGCCACCAUUGGUAUGCGACCUUGAAGGGUGAUCGGCCACCCUGGACCUGAUACACACUCCAAACUCCUACAGGAGGGAGCAAUAAGGAAUCUUCCGCAAUGGGCUGAUGCCUGCAUGACCAACGUCUCGUGAGUGAUGAAGGUCUUCAGAUCAUUUAACUCUGUUAUUAAGGAAGAACAUAUGUGUAAGUCACUGUGCGCAUUUUCUCGGGGCAUAAUCACAAAGUCACU
RNAcentral lists this ribosomal RNA (476 nucleotides) under Staphylococcus aureus. RNAcentral describes it as "bacterial SSU rRNA". It matches the Rfam family "Bacterial small subunit ribosomal RNA", at positions 28 to 495 of the family's 1533-position model. The record is from RNAcentral. Lineage: Bacteria; Bacillati; Bacillota; Bacilli; Caryophanales; Staphylococcaceae.